AGGCUUUAAGGACUAGGGACACUGCGAUCGCACCGCAGAGGUCAGGAGUUCGAAUCUCCUAUUCUCCA
Molecule: transfer RNA, 68 nt
Filed under: Phormidium tenue FACHB-1052
Lineage: Bacteria; Bacillati; Cyanobacteriota; Cyanophyceae; Oscillatoriales; Oscillatoriaceae
Description: tRNA-Ala
Source: RNAcentral